AUAAGGGCGCACGGUGGAUGCCUUGGCACUAGGAGCCGAUGAAGGACGGGACUAACACCGAUAUGCUUUGGGGAGCUGUACGUAAGCUAUGAUCCAGAGAUUUCCGAAUGGGGGAACCCAACAUCUUUAAUAGGAUGUUACGAUUGUGUGAAUACAUAGCACAUUCGAGGUAGACGCAGAGAACUGAAACAUCUAAGUACCUGCAGGAAGAGAAAGAAAAUUCGAUUCCCUGAGUAGCGGCGAGCGAAACGGGAAAAGCCCAAACCAGCAAGCUUGCUUGUUGGGGUUGUAGGACUCCAAUAUGGUAGUUCUUUCAGAUAGUCGAAUGACUUGGAAAAGUCAGUCAAAGAGGGUAAAAACCCCGUAGACGAAAUGUGGAAGACACCUAGGAGGAUCCUGAGUACGGCGGAACACGAGAAAUUCCGUCGGAAUCCGGGAGGACCAUCUCCCAAGGCUAAAUACUCCCUAGUGACCGAUAGUGAACCAGUACCGUGAGGGAAAGGUGAAAAGCACCCCGGAAGGGGAGUGAAAUAGAACCUGAAACCGUGUGCCUACAACAAGUCAAAGCCCGUUAAUGGGUGAUGGCGUGCCUUUUGUAGAAUGAACCGGCGAGUUACGAUUGCAUGCGAGGUUAAGUUGAAGAGACGGAGCCGCAGCGAAAGCGAGUCUGAAUAGGGCGUUUGAGUAUGUAGUCGUAGACCCGAAACCAUGUGAUCUACCCAUGUCCAGGUUGAAGGUGCGGUAAAACGCACUGGAGGACCGAACCCACGUACGUUGAAAAGUGCGGGGAUGAGGUGUGGGUAGCGGAGAAAUUCCAAACGAACUUGGAGAUAGCUGGUUCUCUCCGAAAUAGCUUUAGGGCUAGCCUCGGAAUUGAGAAUGAUGGAGGUAGAGCACUGUUUGGACUAGGGGCCCAUCUCGGGUUACCGAAUUCAGAUAAACUCCGAAUGCCAUUCAUUCAUAUCCGGGAGUCAGACUGUGAGUGAUAAGAUCCAUAGUCGAAAGGGAAACAGCCCAGACCACCAGCUAAGGUCCCAAAAUAUAUGUUAAGUGGAAAAGGAUGUGGGGUUGCACAGACAACUAGGAUGUUGGCUUAGAAGCAGCCACCAUUUAAAGAGUGCGUAAUAGCUCACUAGUCGAGUGACCCUGCGCCGAAAAUGUACCGGGGCUAAACAUAUUACCGAAGCUGUGGAGUACACCUUUAGGUGUAUUGGUAGGAGAGCGUUCUAAGGGCGUUGAAGGCAGAUCGUGAGGACUGCUGGAGCGCUUAGAAGUGAGAAUGCCGGUAUGAGUAGCGAAAGACAGGUGAGAAUCCUGUCCACCGAAUGACUAAGGUUUCCUGGGGAAGGCUCGUCCGCCCAGGGUUAGUCGGGACCUAAGCCGAGGCCGACAGGCGUAGGCGAUGGAUAACAGGUUGAUAUUCCUGUACCCGUUGUUUUUGUUUGAGCAAUGGAGGGACGCAGGAGGCUAAGGAAUGCAGACGAUCGGAAAUGUCUGUCCAAGCAGUAAGUCUGAAGAGGAGUCAAAUGCUUCUUUUCUUAAGGACAAGCUGUGAUGGGGAGGGAAAUAAUAGUACCGAAGUUCCUGAUGUCACACUGCCGAGAAAAGCUUCUAGUGAGAAAACAGCGGCCCGUACCGCAAACCGACACAGGUAGUCGAGGAGAGAAUCCUAAGGUGAGCGAGAGAACUCUCGUUAAGGAACUCGGCAAAAUGACCCCGUAACUUCGGGAGAAGGGGUGCUGAUCAUACGAUCAGCCGCAGUGAAUAGGCCCAAGCGACUGUUUAUCAAAAACACAGGUCUCUGCAAAAUCGUAAGAUGAAGUAUAGGGGCUGACGCCUGCCCGGUGCUGGAAGGUUAAGAGGAGUGCUUAGCGCAAGCGAAGGUACGAAUUGAAGCCCCAGUAAACGGCGGCCGUAACUAUAACGGUCCUAAGGUAGCGAAAUUCCUUGUCGGGUAAGUUCCGACCCGCACGAAAGGCGUAACGAUUUGGGCACUGUCUCAACGAGAGACUCGGUGAAAUUUUAGUACCUGUGAAGAUGCAGGUUACCCGCGACAGGACGGAAAGACCCCAUGGAGCUUUACUGUAGUUUGAUAUUGAGUGUCUGUACCGCAUGUACAGGAUAGGUAGGAGCCGUAGA
This 2139-nucleotide ribosomal RNA is filed under the name Enterococcus faecium. RNAcentral's name for it is "partial 23S ribosomal RNA". It matches the Rfam family "Bacterial large subunit ribosomal RNA", at positions 12 to 2160 of the family's 2925-position model. The record is from RNAcentral. Lineage: Bacteria; Bacillati; Bacillota; Bacilli; Lactobacillales; Enterococcaceae.